RNAcentral lists this unclassified non-coding RNA (284 nucleotides) under Hevea brasiliensis (rubber tree). The record is from RNAcentral. Lineage: Eukaryota; Viridiplantae; Streptophyta; Magnoliopsida; Malpighiales; Euphorbiaceae.
AAAAAAAAAAAAAAAAGACACUAAAUCAAUCAAAUUGUAGCACCAUAAUGAGAACAGUUAGCUCCAUUGAUAACAAAAAUUCAACAUUACAAACCAACAAUAUUCUUACAUUAUUAAAUACUGAUUCUACAAUAACCCAAAUCAACAAUGCAAAUUUGAUAAUUACUACAAAAUUAAGCAAUUAACACAUAAUUAAAUUCCCACAUAAUUACCAAAACGAGAAACGGCACACAAAUCUGAGAAAGAGGAUGAGAAGAAAAAUACCAGAGGAGAAGCAACAGAGA